UCGACAGAUGUUUAUGAUUUU
RNAcentral lists this non-coding RNA (21 nucleotides) under Caenorhabditis elegans. Lineage: Eukaryota; Metazoa; Nematoda; Chromadorea; Rhabditida; Rhabditidae. The record is from RNAcentral.